Molecule: ribosomal RNA, 255 nt
Filed under: Clostridioides difficile
Lineage: Bacteria; Bacillati; Bacillota; Clostridia; Peptostreptococcales; Peptostreptococcaceae
Description: partial 16S ribosomal RNA
Rfam family: Bacterial small subunit ribosomal RNA
Source: RNAcentral
UUGAGCGAUUUACUUCGGUAAAGAGCGGCGGACGGGUGAGUAACGCGUGGGUAACCUACCCUGUACACACGGAUAACAUACCGAAAGGUAUGCUAAUACGGGAUAAUAUAUUUGAGAGGCAUCUCUUAAAUAUCAAAGGUGAGCCAGUACAGGAUGGACCCGCGUCUGAUUAGCUAGUUGGUAAGGUAACGGCUUACCAAGGCGACGAUCAGUAGCCGACCUGAGAGGGUGAUCGGCCACAGUGGAACUGAGACA